RNAcentral lists this ribosomal RNA (473 nucleotides) under uncultured bacterium. RNAcentral's name for it is "bacterial SSU rRNA". It matches the Rfam family "Bacterial small subunit ribosomal RNA", at positions 355 to 825 of the family's 1533-position model. The record is from RNAcentral.
UGGGGAAUAUUGCGCAAUGGGCGAAAGCCUGACGCAGCCACGCCGCGUGAGUGAAGAAGGCCUUCGGGUUGUAAAGCUCUGUCAUUCGGGAAAAACGGCUAUCCGGGGAAAGUUCGGGUAGCGUGAUGGUACCGAAGGAGGAAGCACCGGCAAACUCUGUGCCAGCAGCCGCGGUAAUACAGAGGGUGCAAGCGUUGUUCGGAAUUACUGGGCGUAAAGCGUGCGUAGGUUGUACUGAGAGUCGCGGGUGAAAUCCCAGGGCUUAACCCUGGAACUGCCUGCGAGACCUCAGUACUAGAGUAUGAGAGAGGAUAGUGGAAUUCCUGGUGUAGCGGUGAAAUGCGUAGAGAUCAGGAGGAACACCUGUGGCGAAGGCGGCUAUCUGGCUCAUAACUGACACUGAGGCACGAAAGCGUGGGGAGCAAACAGGAUUAGAUACCCUAGUAGUCCCUGAGCGGGCUGGCAAGGCGCAU